UUUCCGUAGGUGAACCUGCGGAAGGAUCAUUAUUGAAUGAAACACUUCUGGCUUUAUGCUGUUGUGCUGGCCCUUUGGGCAAUGUGCACACGGCUCUGGUCACUUGUUUCUUCUGUUCCACCUGUGCACUGCCUGUAGACACGCUGUGUCUAUGAUAUUUGUUAACACACAACAAUGUUAGUUGGCAUGUUAUAUAUAAUAAUAAAAUAUACAACUUUCAACAACGGAUCUCUUGGCUCUCGCAUCGAUGAAGAACGCAAC
RNAcentral lists this unclassified non-coding RNA (261 nucleotides) under plant metagenome. Its description in RNAcentral is "partial contains small subunit ribosomal RNA, internal transcribed spacer 1, and 5.8S ribosomal RNA". The stretch from base 213 to 261 matches the Rfam family "5.8S ribosomal RNA", at positions 1 to 49 of the family's 154-position model. The record is from RNAcentral.